CCCCUAGUAACUGCGAGUGAAGCGGGAUGAGCUCAAAUUUAAAAUCUGGCGGUUUCACCGUCCGAGUUGUAAUCUGGAGAAGCGUUUUCCGCGUCGGACCGUGUACAAGUCUCUUGGAAUAGAGCGUCAUAGAGGGUGAGAAUCCCGUCCAUGACACGGACUCCCGGUGCUAUGUGAUACGCUCUCAAAGAGUCGAGUUGUUUGGGAAUGCAGCUCAAAAUGGGUGGUAAAUUCCAUCUAAAGCUAAAUAUUGGCGAGAGACCGAUAGCGAACAAGUACCGUGAGGGAAAGAUGAAAAGCACUUUGGAAAGAGAGUUAAACAGUACGUGAAAUUGUUGAAAGGGAAACGCUUGAAGUCAGUCGCGUUGUACGGAGCUCAGCCUUGCUUCUGCUUGGUGUAUUCUCUGUGUCAACGGGUCAACAUCAAUUUCGAUCGGUGGAGAAGGGCUUGGGGAAUGUGGCGUCGUUUCGGCGACGUGUUAUAGCCCUAGGUCGUAUGCAUCGAUUGGGAUUGAGGACCGCAGCACGCCCUUGUGGCCGGGGGGUUCGCCCUUACGUUUCGUGCUUAGGAUGUUGGCAAAAUGGCUUUAAGCGACCCGUCUUGAAACACGGACCAAGGAGUCUAACAUGCCUGCGAGUGUUCGGGUGGAAAACCCUUGCGCGUAAUGAAAGUGAAAGUUGGGAUCCCUCGCAAGGGGGUGCACCGACGCCCGGCCCUGAAGUUCUCUGACGGUGCUGCGGUAGAGCAUGUAUGUUGGGACCCGAAAGAUGGUGAACUAUGCCUGAAUAGGGUGAAGCCAGAGGAAACUCUGGUGGAGGCUCGUAGCGAUUCUGACGUGCAAAUCGAUCGUCAAAUUUGGG
This 861-nucleotide ribosomal RNA is filed under the name Hymenochaete huangshanensis. Its description in RNAcentral is "partial large subunit ribosomal RNA". It matches the Rfam family "Eukaryotic large subunit ribosomal RNA", at positions 77 to 915 of the family's 3401-position model. Lineage: Eukaryota; Fungi; Basidiomycota; Agaricomycetes; Hymenochaetales; Hymenochaetaceae. The record is from RNAcentral.